RNAcentral lists this ribosomal RNA (1469 nucleotides) under Trichomitopsis minor. Its description in RNAcentral is "SSU rRNA". It matches the Rfam family "Eukaryotic small subunit ribosomal RNA". Lineage: Eukaryota; Parabasalia; Trichomonadida; Trichomonadidae. The record is from RNAcentral.
AAGUGUUAGUUCAGGCAACGAAGCUGCGAAUAGCUCAUUAGUACGCUCAGAAUCUAUUCGACGGCAAUCAAAGGAUUUUAAAUGGAUAGCAGAAGUAACUCUUGUGCUAAUACAUGCGAUUGUUUCUCCAGAAACGAUUUAUGGAGGAAAAGUUGACCUCUCAGGAGGCACGUCGUUCGAUUGAGUGACCUAUCAGCUUGUACUUAGGGUCUUUACCUAGGUAGGCUAUCACGGGUAACGGGCGGUUACCGUCGGACUGCCGGAGAAGGCGCCUGAGAGAUAGCGACUAUAUCUACGGGUAGCAGCAGGCGCGAAACUUUCCCACUCGAGACAUUCGGAGGAGGUAAUGACCAGUUCCAUGGAAGCCUCACGGCUUUGUGGAUAGGAUAACACCUUGAAAGUGAUAUGAAAUCUAGCAGUGGGCCAGUCUGGUGCCAGCAGCUGCGGUAAUUCCAGCUCUGCGAGUUUGCUCCCAUAUUGUUGCAGUUAAAACGCCCGUAGUCUGAAUUGGCUAGUAAUGGCCGAGAGAAAUUCGUUCACUGUGAACAAAUCAGGACGCUUAGAGUAUGGUCUCAUGAAUGACUCAGCGCAGUAUGAAGUCUUUGUUUUCUCCGGAAAACAAGCUCAACGAGAGCCAUCGGGGGUAGAUCUAUUUCAUGGCGAGCGGUGAAAUGCUUUGACCCAUGAGAGAGACACAGAAGCGAAGGCGUCUACCUAGAGGGUUUCUGUCGAUCAAGGGCGAGAGUAGGAGGAUCCAACCGGAUUAGAGACCCGGGCAGUUCCUACUGUAAACGAUGCCGACAGGAGUUUGUCUAUUAUAGGCAGAAUCCGCGGAGAAAUCAUAGUUCUNGGGCUCUGGGGGNAAACUACGACCGCAAGGCUGAAAACUUGAAGGAAUUGACGGAAGGGCACACCAGGGGUGGGAGCUUGUGGCUUAAUUUGAAUCAACACGGGGAAACUUACCAGGACCAGAUGGUUUUUAUGACUGACAGGCUUCGGGUCUUUCAGGAUAUGCUUUUUGGUGGUGCAUGGCCGUUGGUGGUGCGUGGGUUGACCUGUCUAGCGUUGAUUCAGAUAACGAGCGAGAUUAUCACCAAUUAAUUACAAGCACUUCCUCUAGAGGUGUGUUGUUCUAAUUGGGACUCCCUGUGAUUAUAGCAGGAGGAAGAGGGUAGCAAUAACAGGUCCGUGAUGUCCUUUAGAUGCUCUGGGCUGCACGCGCGCUACAAUGCUAGGAUCAAUAGGAAGCUACUCUGACAAGAGGCGCUACUCUUAUAAUCCCUAGCGUAGUUGGGAUUGAUGCUUGUAAUCAGCAUCAUGAACCAGGAAUCCCUUGUAAAUGUGUGUCAACAGCGCACGUUGAAUACGUCCCUGCCCUUUGUACACACCGCCCGUCGCUCCUACCGAUUGGAUGACUCGGUGAAAUCGCCAGACGCCCUCGGGUUAAGGCGAUUAAAUCACGUUAUCUA